GUUUUUAUAGUUUAAAUUUAAAACAUUGGUCUUGUAAAUCAAAAAUAAGAUUUUAUUUUUAAAAACA
Molecule: transfer RNA, 67 nt
Filed under: Omiodes indicata
Lineage: Eukaryota; Metazoa; Arthropoda; Insecta; Lepidoptera; Crambidae
Description: tRNA-Thr
Rfam family: tRNA
About the family: Transfer RNA (tRNA) molecules are approximately 80 nucleotides in length. Their secondary structure includes four short double-helical elements and three loops (D, anti-codon, and T loops).
Source: RNAcentral